This 465-nucleotide ribosomal RNA is filed under the name Vreelandella stevensii. Its description in RNAcentral is "partial 16S ribosomal RNA". It matches the Rfam family "Bacterial small subunit ribosomal RNA", at positions 338 to 795 of the family's 1533-position model. Lineage: Bacteria; Pseudomonadati; Pseudomonadota; Gammaproteobacteria; Oceanospirillales; Halomonadaceae. The record is from RNAcentral.
CCUACGGGUGGCAGCAGUGGGGAAUAUUGGACAAUGGGGGCAACCCUGAUCCAGCCAUGCCGCGUGUGUGAAGAAGGCCCUCGGGUUGUAAAGCACUUUCAGUGAGGAAGAACGCCUGGUGGUUAAUACCCAUCAGGAAAGACAUCACUCACAGAAGAAGCACCGGCUAACUCCGUUCCAGCAGCCGCGGUAAUACGGAGGGUGCGAGCGUUAAUCGGAAUUACUGGGCGUAAAGCGCGCGUAGGUGGCUUGAUAAGCCGGUUGUGAAAGCCCCGGGCUCAACCUGGGAACGGCAUCCGGAACUGUCAAGCUAGAGUGCAGGAGAGGAAGGUAGAAUUCCCGGUGUAGCGGUGAAAUGCGUAGAGAUCGGGAGGAAUACCAGUGGCGAAGGCGGCCUUCUGGACUGACACUGACACUGAGGUGCGAAAGCGUGGGUAGCAAACAGGAUUAGAUACCCUGGUAGUC